RNAcentral lists this ribosomal RNA (395 nucleotides) under uncultured bacterium. RNAcentral's name for it is "partial 16S ribosomal RNA". It matches the Rfam family "Bacterial small subunit ribosomal RNA", at positions 523 to 918 of the family's 1533-position model. The record is from RNAcentral.
CUACGUAGGGUGCAAGCGUUAAUCGGAAUUACUGGGCGUAAAGCGUGCGCAGGCGGUUUUGUAAGACAGAGGUGAAAUCCCCGGGCUCAACCUGGGAAAUGCCUUUGUGACUGCAAGGCUAGAGAACGGCAGAAGGGGAUGGUAAUCCGCGUGUAGCAGUGAAAUGCGUAGAUAUGCGGAGGAACACCGAUGGCGAAGGCAAUACCCUGGUCCGGUACUGACGCUCAUGCACGAAAGCGGGGGGAGCAAACAGGAUUAGAUACCCUGGUAGUCCACGCACUAAACGAUGUCAACUGGUUGUUGGGUCUUCAUUGACUCAGUAUCGAAGCUAACGCGUGAAGUUGACCGCCUGGGGAGUACGGCCGCAAGGUUGAAACUUAAAGGAAUUGACGGGG